CACCAAUUCGAAAGAGAAAUAUUUCGACCCUAAACCUCGCACCCCCACCCGGCCUCCUCUCUGGUGGCUUCCCCAUUUCCACGUUCCCUAAUGACCUCUCCCAUCAAUGCGCCACCACUGCCACCAUUUAUACCAUUGCCCCCAAAUGCUAUUCGGAUUCUAUUCUACAUCAACAACUCAUGAACUCUCUAAUCAACAAUAUCGUCAUCAGCGGCAGCGACAUUUCUCGAAAUGGUAAAGGCCCUCAAAUUCCAAUCCCCACCCUUGAUUCGCUUCUCCAAAAUCUCUAGAAGUUGCUGCCCUUUACCCAUCUCCCUCCUUUUCUCCUCACAACCGGUUCAACAAGAAAAUCUUGAACAAGAGCAUCAUAUUUCAUCCAGCUUAGUCUCCAGAGUGUGCGAAAUCCUAUCCAAUCGGAGAGUCGAUUGGCGGCGAAGCUCGGAGCUAGAGUCCUUGAGCUUGAAGCUCAAACCCCACCAUGUUGCCAAAAUAAUCGAAACCCACAAUAGCACCGACUUAGUUUUGCAGUUUUUUUAUUGGGUUUCUAAGAGGCCUUUCUACAAACAUGAUUUGAGCUGUUAUGUUUCUAUGUUGAAUAGGCUGGUUAAAAAUAAGAUUUUUACGCACGCUGACCAUGUUAGGAUUCUUUUCAUUAAAGCCUGUAGGAAUGAGGGAGAACUUAGAAAGGUUCUUGAUUUUUUGAAUGAGAUUAGUAAAAUGGGUCUUUCUUGUAGUCUGUAUAGUUUUAAUACUUUGUUGAUUCAAUUGGGCAAGUUUGAUAUGGUGGUCAUGGCUCAGAAUGUGUAUAAGGAAUUGUUGAAUAGUGGGAUCAAACCAAAUUUGUUGACUUUGAAUACCAUGAUUAAUAUCUUCUGUAAGAAGGGGAAGGUUGAAGAGGCUGAAAUUAUAUUGAGUCGCAUUUACCAGUAUGAAAUGUUGCCGGAUGUGUUCACAUACACAUCAUUGAUUCUUGGGCAUUGUAGAACUAGGAAUUUAGUUAAGGCGUUUGUUGUUUUUGAUCAGAUGGUGAAGAAGGGCAUUGAUCCAAAUUCGGUAACAUAUACUACUCUUAUCAAUGGGCUAUGUGAAAAUGGAAGAGUGGACGAGGCACUGGGCAUGAUAGAGGAGAUGAUUGAGAAAGGGAUUGAACCAACCAUAUAUACCUACACGGUGCCUAUUACUGCAUUGCUUGCAGUUGGGCGCAUGAAUGACGCUAUCAAUCUAGUCGCUAGCAUGAAAGAGAGAGGUUGCCAUCCCAAUGUUCAGACCUAUACUGCUCUUAUUAGUGGGUUGGGCAAAUCCAGUCAACUUGAGGUAGCUGUUGGAUUGUACCAUAAGAUGUUGAGAAAGGGCUUGAUGCCAACGGCAGUCACAUACAAUGCUUUGAUAAAUGAAUUGUGUGAGGGUGGGAAACUUGAUACUGCCUUUCGAAUUUUUCAUUGGAUGGAGGGACAUGGUUACUUGCCAAAUGCUCAAACCUAUAAUGCAAUGAUAAAAGGACUCUGUAUGAUUGGAAAUUUUGAGAGGGCGAUGAUUCUAUAUAACGAAAUGCUGAAGGUGGGUCCUGCACCUACAGUGAUUACGUACAACACUCUCAUUAAUGGAUACCUGGAAAGGGGUUUUCUGGACAAUGCUAUGAGAUUAUUAGAGGUGAUGAAGGAAAGUGGUUGUCAACCAGAUGAAUGGACAUAUGCAGAACUUGUUUCAGGUUUUUGCGAAAGGGGGAAGCUUGAUAUGGCUUCUGCACUUUUUCAGGAAAUGAUGCAACGAGGUUUGAGCCCAAAUCAGGUGAACUACACCACUUUGAUCGAUGGCCUUUGCAAGGAAGGGAAAGUUGAUGAUUCACUGAUAUUAUUUGAAGGAAUGUUCAAGAGUGGUUGUGAUCCAGAUAUUGAGACUUACAACUCGGUUAUAAAUGGUUUGUCGAGAGGGAACAGGCUUUCUGAAGCAGAGAAACUAUGCAAUAAGAUGGUAGAAAGUGGACUUCUUCCAAACGUGAUAACCUACACAACUUUAAUUGAUGGUCUGUGUAAGAAUGGUGGAACACAUCUUGCAUUCAAGAUUUUCCAUGAAAUGGAGAAAAGGAAUUGCUUACCAAACUUGUACACUUAUAGUUCACUAAUCCAUGGAUUAUGUUUGGAAGGUCAGGCUGAUCGUGCAGAGAUGUUACUUGAAGAAAUGGCGAGCAAAAAGUUAUCUCCUGAUCAGGUCACAUAUACUUCAUUGAUUGAUGGGUUUGUCACCCUGGGUAGAUUAAAUCACGCAUUUGAACUUCUUCAUCUGAUGGUACAUGCGGGCUGCAAACCUAACUACCGAACAUUCUGUGUGUUGCUGAAAGGGUUGCAAAAGGAAUGUCGGAUGCUUGCAGAAAAAGUUGCAGUCCAACAUGAAACAGUCUACAGCUGCAAUGCAGAUGAGAAGGAUUUUACAUAUGAUACUUUAUGUAAUCUCUUAGUUAGGUUGUCCGAGAUUCACUAUGAACCUUCUGUUGAUACAUAUUGCUGUUUAAUUGCUGGCCUCUGUAGAGGUGGCAAAUUGUAUGAGGCAGAACAGUUGGUUAAAUAUAUGAAAGAGAAAGGGCUAAGUCCUAAUGAUGCAAUUUAUUGCUCUCUCCUCAGUGCUUACUGCAAGUAUUUGAGAAUGGAGCCUGCUCUAGAAGUAUUUAAUUUAUUAGUUGUCAGAGGUUUCAAUCCUUCUUUAUCAAUUUAUAGACAACUUAUUUCCUCUCUUUGCAAGAUAAAUUGGGUCAAAGAGGCCGAAAUUUUGUUUGAGAACAUGCUUGAGAAACAAUGGAAUACUGAUGAAAUUGUUUGGACUAUCUUGCUUGAUGGAUUGCUCAAGGAGGGGGAAUCAAUAGUAUGCUUGAAGCUUCUUCAUACUAUGAUCUCUAAGAAUUACUCUAUCAGUUUGCAAACAUAUGUCAUGCUGGCAAGAGAAUUAUCCAAAGUUGACCAAUCUAUUGAUAUGAACCAAGUUGCUGAUAAAUUGCAAAGCCUGAGAAAGAAAAAACCAGGCUGAAGUCUUCAUUUUAAUGAAUUGACCGCAUAGAAAACAUAUUGCCUUCUCUUGGAAGACAGAUCCUCCUGCACUUUGUCCCUUGCUAUUUCACUUGAUUCCAAUGGCCCUUUUGCAGCAUCUGUAAAUAUAAUUUUUGAGCUGCAAUCUAUGAUCAAUGAGUGGUAAGCCUAUUGUACUUUUCGAUGGGAAUCUUGAU
RNAcentral lists this long non-coding RNA (3214 nucleotides) under Olea europaea subsp. europaea. Lineage: Eukaryota; Viridiplantae; Streptophyta; Magnoliopsida; Lamiales; Oleaceae. The record is from RNAcentral.